UACAGAGGGGGCAAGCGUUGUUCGGAAUUACUGGGCGUAAAGGGCGCGUAGGCGGCGCGGCAAGUCAGGUGUGAAAGCCCCGGGCUCAACUCGGGAACUGCAUCUGAAACUGCCAUGCUUGAGUCCUGGAGGGGGUAGUGGAAUUCCCAGUGUAGCGGUGAAAUGCGUAGAUAUUGGGAGGAACACCUGUGGCGAAGGCGGCUACCUGGACAGUGACUGACGCUGAGGCGCGAAAGCUAGGGGAGCGAACGGG
RNAcentral lists this ribosomal RNA (253 nucleotides) under uncultured bacterium. RNAcentral's name for it is "partial 16S ribosomal RNA". It matches the Rfam family "Bacterial small subunit ribosomal RNA", at positions 524 to 776 of the family's 1533-position model. The record is from RNAcentral.